UGGGGAAUAUUGCACAAUGGGCGCAAGCCUGAUGCAGCCAUGCCGCGUGUAUGAAGAAGGCCUUCGGGUUGUAAAGUACUUUCAGUCGGGAGGAAGGUGUCAAGGUUAAUAACCUUGGCAAUUGACGUUACCGACAGAAGAAGCACCGGCUAACUCCGUGCCAGCAGCCGCGGUAAUACGGAGGGUGCAAGCGUUAAUCGGAAUUACUGGGCGUAAAGCGCACGCAGGCGGUUGAUUGAGUCAGAUGUGAAAUCCCCGGGCUUAACCCGGGAAUUGCAUCUGAUACUGGUCAGCUAGAGUCUUGUAGAGGGGGGUAGAAUUCCAUGUGUAGCGGUGAAAUGCGUAGAGAUGUGGAGGAAUACCGGUAGCGAAGGCGGCCCCCUGAACAAAGACUGACGCUCAGGUGCGAAAGCGUGGGGAGCAAACAGG
Molecule: ribosomal RNA, 429 nt
Filed under: Chloroflexota bacterium
Lineage: Bacteria; Bacillati; Chloroflexota
Description: Chloroflexi bacterium partial 16S ribosomal RNA
Rfam family: Bacterial small subunit ribosomal RNA
Source: RNAcentral